ACCUUGGCUCUAGACUGCUUACU
RNAcentral lists this microRNA (23 nucleotides) under Lepisosteus oculatus (spotted gar). RNAcentral's name for it is "Loc-Mir-132-P2_5p (mature (guide))". RNAcentral also lists the same sequence under 35 other names. The record is from RNAcentral. Lineage: Eukaryota; Metazoa; Chordata; Actinopteri; Semionotiformes; Lepisosteidae.